This 837-nucleotide ribosomal RNA is filed under the name uncultured bacterium. RNAcentral's name for it is "bacterial SSU rRNA". It matches the Rfam family "Bacterial small subunit ribosomal RNA", at positions 1 to 883 of the family's 1533-position model. The record is from RNAcentral.
UUCGCCCUUAGAGUUUGAUCCUGGCUCAGAACGAACGCUGGCGGCAGGCUUAACACAUGCAAGUCGAACGCCCCUUUCGGGGGGAGUGGCAGACGGGUGAGUAACACGUGGGAACGUACCUCUUUGUUCGGAAUAACUCAUGGAAACGUGAGCUAAUACCGGAUACGCCCUUUUGGGGAAAGAUUUAUCGCAGAGAGAUCGGCCCGCGUCUGAUUAGCUAGUUGGUGAGGUAAUGGCUCACCAAGGCGACGAUCAGUAGCUGGUCUGAGAGGAUGAUCAGCCACACUGGGACUGAGACACGGCCCAGACUCCUACGGGAGGCAGCAGUGGGGAAUAUUGGACAAUGGGGGCAGCCCUGAUCCAGCCAUGCCGCGUGAGUGAUGAAGGCCUUAGGGUUGUAAAGCUCUUUUAUCCGGGAAGAUAAUGACUGUACCGGAAGAAUAAGCCCCGGCUAACUUCGUGCCAGCAGCCGCGGUAAUACGAAGGGGGCUAGCGUUGUUCGGAAUCACUGGGCGUAAAGGGCGCGUAGGCGGACGAUUAAGUCAGGGGUGAAAUCCCGGGGCUCAACCUCGGAAUUGCCCUUGAUACUGGUUGUCUUGAGAUUGGAAGAGGUAAGUGGAAUUGCGAGUGUAGAGGUGAAAUUCGUAGAUAUUCGCAAGAACACCGGUGGCGAAGGCGACUUACUGGUCCAUAUCUGACGCUGAGGCGCGAAAGCGUGGGGAGCAAACAGGAUUAGAUACCCUGGUAGUCCACGCCGUAAACGAUGGAUGCCAGCUGUUGGGGAGCAUGCUCUUCAGUGGCGCAGUCAACACAUUAAGCAUCCCGCCUGGGGAGUAC